The sequence is a ribosomal RNA, 540 nucleotides long. It matches the Rfam family "Bacterial large subunit ribosomal RNA", at positions 1844 to 2584 of the family's 2925-position model.
UAUAAGAGGUCCAGCCUGCCCAGUGACUUUGUUCAACGGCCGCGGUAUCCUAACCGUGCGAAGGUAGCGUAAUCACUUGUUCUUUAAAUGAGGACUAGUAUGAAUGGCACCACGAGGAUUGCACUGUCUCCUUUUCCCAAUCAGUGAAACUAAUCUUCCCGUGAAGAAGCGGGAAUAUAAAUAUAAGACGAGAAGACCCUAUGGAGCUUUAAACCAAAUAACAUUUAUCCUUAUUUUUAUCGAAAUUUAAGAAAACUAUAAUUUAUUUUGAUAUUAUGAUUAAUGGUUUUAGGUUGGGGUGACCGCGGAGAAAAAUUUAUCCUCCACAUUGAAAAGAUACUCUCUUUAGCUAAGAACGACAGCUCCAAGCAUCAAUAAAUUGACAUUUUUGACCCAAUAUUUUGAUCAACGAACCAAGUUACCCUAGGGAUAACAGCGCAAUCCACUUCAAGAGCCCCUAUCGACAAGUGGGUUUACGACCUCGAUGUUGGAUCAGGGUACCCCAGUGGCGCAGUCGCUACUAAAGGUUCGUUUGUUCAA